RNAcentral lists this ribosomal RNA (378 nucleotides) under uncultured bacterium. Its description in RNAcentral is "bacterial SSU rRNA". It matches the Rfam family "Bacterial small subunit ribosomal RNA", at positions 524 to 898 of the family's 1533-position model. The record is from RNAcentral.
UACGUAGGGCGCGAGCGUUGUCCGGAAUUAUUGGGCGUAAAGAGCUCGUAGGCGGCUUGUCGCGUCUGCUGUGAAAUCCUGGGGCUUAACUCUGGGCGUGCAGUGGGUACGGGCAGGCUAGAGUGCGGUAGGGGUGAUUGGAAUUCCUGGUGUAGCGGUGGAAUGCGCAGAUAUCAGGAGGAACACCGAUGGCGAAGGCAGGUCACUGGGCCGUUACUGACGCUGAGGAGCGAAAGCAUGGGGAGCGAACAGGAUUAGAUACCCUGGUAGUCCAUGCUGUAAACGUUGGGCACUAGGUGUGGGGGGCCUUUCCGGGUUUUCUGCGCCGUAGCUAACGCAUUAAGUGCCCCGCCUGGGGAGUACGGCCGCAAGGCUAAA